GACGAACGCUGGCGGCGUGCCUAAUACAUGCCAGUCGAACGCUUCUUUCCUCCCGAGUGCUUGCACUCAAUUGGAAAGAGGAGUGGCGGACGGGUGAGUAACACGUGGGUAACCUACCCAUCAGAGGGGGAUAACACUUGGAAACAGGUGCUAAUACCGCAUAACAGUUUAUGCCGCAUGGCAUAAGAGUGAAAGGCGCUUUCGGGUGUCGCUGAUGGAUGGACCCGCGGUGCAUUAGCUAGUUGGUGAGGUAACGGCUCACCAAGGCCACGAUGCAUAGCCGAACGGAGAGGGUGAUCGGCCACACUGGGACUGAGACACGGCCCAGACUCCUACGGGAGGCAGCAGUAGGGAAUCUUCGGCAAUGGACGAAAGUCUGACCGAGCAACGCCGCGUGAGUGAAGAAGGUUUUCGGAUCGUAAAACUCUGUUGUUAGAGAAGAACAAGGACGUUAGUAACUGAACGUCCCCUGACGGUAUCUAACCAGAAAGCCACGGCUAACUACGUG
Molecule: ribosomal RNA, 508 nt
Filed under: uncultured bacterium
Lineage: Bacteria
Description: partial 16S ribosomal RNA
Rfam family: Bacterial small subunit ribosomal RNA
Source: RNAcentral